UUUUAUUUGAGAGUUUGAUCCUGGCUCAGGAUGAACGCUGGCGGCGUGCCUAACACAUGCAAGUUGAGCGAUUUACUUCGGUAAAGAGCGGCGGACGGGUGAGUAACGCGUGGGUAACCUACCCUGUACACACGGAUAACAUACCGAAAGGUAUGCUAAUACGGGAUAAUAUAUUUGAGAGGCAUCUCUUAAAUAUCAAAGGUGAGCCAGUACAGGAUGGACCCGCGUCUGAUUAGCUAGUUGGUAAGGUAACGGCUUA
RNAcentral lists this ribosomal RNA (259 nucleotides) under Clostridioides difficile. Its description in RNAcentral is "partial 16S ribosomal RNA". It matches the Rfam family "Bacterial small subunit ribosomal RNA", at positions 1 to 267 of the family's 1533-position model. The record is from RNAcentral. Lineage: Bacteria; Bacillati; Bacillota; Clostridia; Peptostreptococcales; Peptostreptococcaceae.